GGCCUGAUGGUCUAGUAGUAUGAUUCCUUGUUAGGGAAAAGCGCUUGCCUAUUCUGGACUCGAGGAGGUCCCGGGUUCAAUUCCCGGUCAGGCCC
RNAcentral lists this transfer RNA (95 nucleotides) under Ephemerocybe angulata. Its description in RNAcentral is "Coprinellus angulatus tRNA-Pro". It matches the Rfam family "tRNA". Rfam says of the family: Transfer RNA (tRNA) molecules are approximately 80 nucleotides in length. Their secondary structure includes four short double-helical elements and three loops (D, anti-codon, and T loops). Lineage: Eukaryota; Fungi; Basidiomycota; Agaricomycetes; Agaricales; Psathyrellaceae. The record is from RNAcentral.